Molecule: ribosomal RNA, 253 nt
Filed under: uncultured bacterium
Lineage: Bacteria
Description: partial 16S ribosomal RNA
Rfam family: Bacterial small subunit ribosomal RNA
Source: RNAcentral
UACGGGGGGGGCAAGCGUUGUUCGGAAUUACUGGGCGUAAAGGGCUCGUAGGCGGCCAACUAAGUCAGACGUGAAAUCCCUCGGCUUAACCGGGGAACUGCGUCUGAUACUGGAUGGCUUGAAUCCGGGAGAGGGAUGCGGAAUUCCAGGUGUAGCGGUGAAAUGCGUAGAUAUCUGGAGGAACACCGGUGGCGAAGGCGGCAUCCUGGACCGAGAUUGACGCUGAGGCGCGAAAGCCAGGGGAGCAAACGGG